Molecule: ribosomal RNA, 253 nt
Filed under: uncultured bacterium
Lineage: Bacteria
Description: partial 16S ribosomal RNA
Rfam family: Bacterial small subunit ribosomal RNA
Source: RNAcentral
UACGUAGGGUGCAAGCGUUGUCCGGAAUUAUUGGGCGUAAAGAGCUCGUAGGCGGCCAACUAAGUCAGACGUGAAAUCCCUCGGCUUAACCGGGGAACUGCAUCUGAUACUGGAUGGCUUGAGUUCGGGAGAGGGAUGCGGAAUUCCAGGUGUAGCGGUGAAAUGCGUAGAUAUCUGGAGGAACACCGGUGGCGAAGGCGGCAUCCUGGACCGACACUGACGCUGAGGAGCGAAAGCCAGGGGAGCAAACGGG